RNAcentral lists this ribosomal RNA (497 nucleotides) under uncultured bacterium. RNAcentral's name for it is "partial 16S ribosomal RNA". It matches the Rfam family "Bacterial small subunit ribosomal RNA", at positions 28 to 507 of the family's 1533-position model. The record is from RNAcentral.
GAUGAACGCUGGCGGCGUGCCUAAUCCAUGCAAGUCGAGCGAACGGACGAGAAGCUUUCUUCUCUGAUGUUAGCGGCUGACGGGUGAGUAACACGUGGAUAACCUACCUAUAAGACUGGGAUAACUUCGUGAAACCGGAGCUAAUACCGGCUAAUAUUUUGAACCGCAUGGUUCAAAAGUUAAAGACGGUCUUGCUGUCACUUAUAGAUGGAUCCGCGCUGCAUUAGCUAGUUGGUAAGGUAACGGCUUACCAAGGCAACGAUGCAUAGCCGACCUGAGAGGGUGAUCGGCCACACUGGAACUGAGACACGGUCCAGACUCCUACGGGAGGCAGCAGUAGGGAAUCUUCCGCAAUGGGCGAAAGCCUGACGGAGCAACGCCGCGUGAGUGAUGAAGGUCUUCGGAUCGUAAAACUCUGUUAUUAGGGAAGAACAUAUGUGUAAGUAACUGUGCACAUCUUGACGGUACCUAAUCAGAAAGCCACGGCUAACUACGUG